Long non-coding RNA from Peromyscus leucopus (white-footed mouse), 573 nucleotides. RefSeq lists it as uncharacterized. Lineage: Eukaryota; Metazoa; Chordata; Mammalia; Rodentia; Cricetidae. The record is from RefSeq and is a predicted model, not a curated record. The transcript is spliced from 2 exons.
GCCUUCCCUACCUCAGAGAAGACUGGCAGCCAGGACCCCAGCGGGUGAGCGACUCGAGAAACACGAUCAGCAGCAGGAUAGCCAGGAUACUGCUGCCUGGAAGGACACACAGACAGGUGUCGGUGCUGCCGGGGUCAGACGUGGCCCACCCCUCAUCUCCACGGACCAUGUAUGUGUUAGGUCUACAGUUAACCCACCACAGUGGAUCCACACGGCUGUCACCCAGAGAGGAAUAGCACGCUUUUUAAAGAAGAUUAAAAACAAAAGUCCCCCAAGACAAGACAAUGGGAGGAAAGCAAAGCGGUCUGUCAGUUGAAGAGGCACGUAGAAAUCUAUCCGUGCAUUAAACACCCUGAAGGCCCCGCAGACAUAUGCUGUCUGGGGACAGGCUUUGGAGAGGGGUGUGUUUUGAGGGACAAUUAACAGAGGGCACCAUGAGUCUUGGGACCUUUUACUGCAUUUGUACUUUGAACGGUGUCAAUGUGUUAUCUGGAGGGGGGGGGGAGGAAAGAAUCCCAAACUGUUCAUUUGACCCUGAACAUUCUGCACAUCUAAAACUGCAAAAUGCAAUGA